This 490-nucleotide ribosomal RNA is filed under the name uncultured bacterium. RNAcentral describes it as "partial 16S ribosomal RNA". It matches the Rfam family "Bacterial small subunit ribosomal RNA", at positions 30 to 507 of the family's 1533-position model. The record is from RNAcentral.
AUUGAACGCUGGCGGCAGGCCUAACACAUGCAAGUCGAACGGUAACAGGAAGAAGCUUGCUUCUUUGCUGACGAGUGGCGGACGGGUGAGUAAUGUCUGGGAAACUGCCUGAUGGAGGGGGAUAACUACUGGAAACGGUAGCUAAUACCGCAUAACGUCGCAAGACCAAAGAGGGGGACCUUCGGGCCUCUUGCCAUCGGAUGUGCCCAGGUGGGAUUAGCUAGUAGGUGGGGUAACGGCUCACCUAGGCGACGAUCCCUAGCUGGUCUGAGAGGAUGACCAGCCACACUGGAACUGAGACACGGUCCAGACUCCUACGGGAGGCAGCAGUGGGGAAUAUUGCACAAUGGGCGCAAGCCUGAUGCAGCCAUGCCGCGUGUAUGAAGAAGGCCUUCGGGUUGUAAAGUACUUUCAGCGGGGAGGAAGGGAGUAAAGUUAAUACCUUUGCUCAUUGACGUUACCCGCAGAAGAAGCACCGGCUAACUCCGUG